UGCCCUUUCAGAACCGGCGCUGAGAAAUUCUGGCUGUGCCUGACCUUGCGGAUUAUGGCAACUGCAACUUCAAAUUCUCUGAAGGGCACCAGAUGUUUCUGAAAGGUCAUCU
RNAcentral lists this long non-coding RNA (112 nucleotides) under Ornithorhynchus anatinus (platypus). RNAcentral's name for it is "lncRNA (ENSOANG00000043887.1)". The record is from RNAcentral. Lineage: Eukaryota; Metazoa; Chordata; Mammalia; Monotremata; Ornithorhynchidae.